Long non-coding RNA from Pygocentrus nattereri (red-bellied piranha), 233 nucleotides. RefSeq lists it as uncharacterized. The transcript is spliced from 3 exons. The record is from RefSeq and is a predicted model, not a curated record. NCBI's taxonomy places the organism in Eukaryota, Metazoa, Chordata, Actinopteri, Characiformes, Serrasalmidae.
UUUUGUGAUUAAAAUGUGCUGAGCUGCUGAAUAGAGGAGCCUGUUUAUUCAUUUGGAGAAAGCCAUCUGCAUGCAGAGGAGUAACGUUAGAUGAAGUACUGAAAAGGGACAAUUGUGGAUCACAUCCUGCUGGGACUGGACAUAAUGGGCCCAGUGUUGAACAGCUUUCUCUGGGCAUUCUGUCAACUGGCUGCCGUGAGGAAUUAUUUGUGGAAAUUAGAGUUUGAGUGAAG